UACGUCCCUUCAUUUUCUUUUCCUUUUUCUCUCUUAAAAGCAAUUUUGUAAUAAGAUAACAAAAAUACAUAUAAAGUGAGUCUCGUGUUUGAGGAGAGCAUGGUGAGUGUUUUUGUUGGUGGUGUACUGACAAUUUUGAUAAACGUUCUUAGUGAGAGUGGCAAAAUGAUUUUCCGGCAUGACAAAGCUCCUUAACUUUUGAUAAAAUUGUUCUCUUUAAGGUUGCUUUAGCUCGUACUUCCGUCAUUAUAAAAGCGGGUUGAUGUAGAAGGGAUUUUGAGAAGGAGCCUACUUUGAGUCCAUUGACGAAGGCCUCUAUGAACAUAGUUUCAUUAGGAGUCACCACUUGGGCUAUCAUAUCACUGAAAUGCUACAAUGUCGGAUUUGUUUGUAGUACAGAGCACUCAUGGACUGGACUUGGUGGGACCAAGAUUGCAUGUUUAUGUAACAAUCAGCCAUCUGCUGCAUUGAAUUAGGUUCUUCUCCUCAGCUGAUUUUCGAGUUUUUUGUGUGGUUCCUGGGGAUAGGCACCUCGAUUCUGAAGUGAACAGUUAGUGAAAUGGAGAAGUCUGCAUCUUCCCAUACAAGCAGGACUACGUUAUCCACAUUACGAAGGGAAAUGCCGAUUGUUAUUGUGGCAUUCAAAGUAGGAUACAAUA
Molecule: non-coding RNA, 659 nt
Organism: Cajanus cajan (pigeon pea)
Lineage: Eukaryota; Viridiplantae; Streptophyta; Magnoliopsida; Fabales; Fabaceae
Source: RefSeq, a predicted model, not a curated record